CUGCACCUGGCAAUGGAACCUCUUUUAGGGCUGAAAUUGAAGACAACAAUUAUUCUGACCCAAGAGCUUGGGCUAUAAACUCCUUGGGAAGUCGGCCCACUUUUCACACAGACAAAUGGCAACUCAUGAACAAAGAGGCACAGGAAGAGGGAAAGGGGUCAGGGAAGGUAACAUUUCCUGAGUGCCCACACAAGGCCUGGAACGCCACAUGCUUCAGUUCAUUUACAGACAGCCACUUGAGGAACACAGUGACACUGAGGUGGAGAGAAAGAAAUGAGCAUUUUGGCAGUGGAUGGGGUCUGGGGCAGGUGCUGACAGCUGAGCCAUUCCACGCACCUUCGGAGCAAAGAACUGCCGGAAACCAGGGCCAAGUUCAGAGCCUGAAAUUUUUUUCAAAGGCUACAAGGAGAAACCUGGGGGGCCUGAUCACACAUUACAUAAGCCGUAUGUGAGCAGAGGAUGCCACUGAUGCUAGGAACCCAGUGCCUGUCGGAAUUGCGCAAGGUUUACGCAGAAGCACUUAAGUGUUGCAACAUGACCCCACAUCUUUACCAAAAAUGUGAAACAUUCACGCAGCACACACUUUAAAAACACUAAAGCUUGUCUCCGCCAGGUGGCUAAGGCUGCUUGAUGGGGCUGACAGGAGAGGAGCUUUGCAGGGGGGCCUGACUUACUGUAGCUCUUGGCCCAGGGAGCUGAACACGCAGUACUUUGUACCCCAAUAGCCCUGGGCAGCCCAAGCCUCUGAUAAAAUGUACUUUUCUGUGUGUUUGUUUUUCCUGGCAGUCUCAUUUUGGGUUAUAAAUGGCUCCUUAUUUCCAUCCCAUAGAUCCAUUCUUGCCUCUGUUGCGUUCUCUUUCGGCUUUCCAAAAUAACCGAAAGGUUGGUAAAAUCAACGCUGGUGAACGGCUUGUUCUGACCUUGAGCAGAAGCCGAAUUUCCACAUUGCUCAUGCCAUCUACAGUUGCUCCCGUGUCCGAGAGGUUGGCUGGAAAGGCCUCCUGAAAGCAGGGGAUAUAAUUAUACUUACACUAAAGCACUUGUUGCCAUUAAAUGCCAGGAAGUGGCAUGGACCUUCCCUUGCUCCUGCCCUGCAACCUUUUUGGAGGACUAUUGGGCAAUCAUCAGAGGUUAUAGAGUUGGAACAGCAUUCCCCCCAGAUAGGUCAUUUUCCCUGCAGGACAGCUUGGAGGCAAAUUUUAUUAAGUAUCAAGUAGCUGACCCAAAGCAGUAUAAAUAGCGAGAGAACAUAUGACAAACCCAGAAAUGAAUGUGUUUAAACCCCAGGCUGAAGAUAUAUGAUGUGUUUACUGUUAUCAGCACCUGCAUGAAGAUAUUUUUGCCCAGUAGCCAUCCAGGAAAAGAUGAAACAUAUAAGUGACGUUAUUAAGGCUUAAUCUUAGAAAAAUAAUUUUGACCCUACUUUUGGAAGUCAGUGGACCACAGAGUUAAUUUGGGGAAGGGACCUGAGGAUAGGUUGGAUGUGAUUGGCUGUCAUAGGAAGUACAGACAGACACUUAUAAAACAUCCCAAGUUCAGCCAGUUAAGAGCCAGGGGGAAAAACAUGGAACUGUAGUUUACAUUGGGUAGGAACUGUAAGCAGUCACUAUCAGGCAAAAGGGACUUCCAAGUUGGAAUUUUUCGAGAGAGACAUGGAGAACAUUUUAAUUCAGGCCUGUUUUCCUCCAUUGUUCCCUACCUUUAUUCUAGGACAUACCACAGAGUACAAACCAUGCUUUAGUGACAUUGAUCAGGCCACAGAUGACUGAGUUAUGAGAGGCCAUGAGCUUUCCAACAUCAGUUUCCUAAACCAGCUGCUUCUCAUCAGUCUGGUCCCCACUGGCCAGAGCUAUUGACAUCCUGGAAGAUAAUCCUAUAUUCCUACAAAGGUAGGAGAAGGUUCUGGGGAGAAAUAGUGUAAGUUUUUAUUUUUAAUUUUUGAUUAUUAUGGGUACAUAAUACAUGUAUGUAUUCAUGGCAGGGGUACAUGUGAUGUUCUGAUAUAGGCAUGUGGUGUAUAAUGAUCACAUCAUGCUAAUUGGGGUGUCCAUCACCUCAAGCACUUAUUAUGUCUUUUUGUUAGGAACAUUCCAGUUCUACUCUUUUAGUUUCAUUUUUGUUUGUUUUUGAGAGGCAGGGUCUCGCUCUGUUGCCCAGGCUGGAGGGCAGUGGCAAGAUCACUGCUCACCGCAGCCUUGACUUCCUGGGCUCAAGUGAUUCUCUGGCCUCAGCCUCCCAUGCAGUUCUAUUAAUAGAACUAAGACAAAAAGGGUCAUAGGCUUUCAGAGGCCACAGUGACCACAAGAGGCUGAUGCACCACCAUGCCUGGCUAAUUUUUGAGUCUUUCCAAGAGAAGAGGUCUCCCUAUGGUGCCCAAACU
Molecule: long non-coding RNA, 2380 nt
Filed under: Homo sapiens (human)
Lineage: Eukaryota; Metazoa; Chordata; Mammalia; Primates; Hominidae
Description: non-protein coding lnc-UBE2N-1:11
Source: RNAcentral